Long non-coding RNA from Lotus japonicus, 1581 nucleotides. RefSeq lists it as uncharacterized. The record is from RefSeq and is a predicted model, not a curated record. The transcript has 8 exons. NCBI's taxonomy places the organism in Eukaryota, Viridiplantae, Streptophyta, Magnoliopsida, Fabales, Fabaceae.
CUUUCAAGCGACACUUCCUCUCCUCUUGACCAUUUUUGCUUUCACCCAUCAACAACAUUUUUCUCCGCCAUGAGCUGCUGAUAUGGUUGGCCAUGGUGUUGUCAGCCCGCUUGAUUCUGCAUCACAUUGUUCAGAACACGUCUUCUCUGUUCUCCGCUAGGGUUGAUUCGUUUCCGUUCUGAAUAUGGCGAACUGAGGAAGCUGUGUACAACUCCUUCGUGGAAUGGCAAGGAACCAUACACUGUGCUACAACUUUCGAGUACAAGGUGCUUGCGUACAAUAGGAAUGGCCUUUGUGCGUUGGGAUUUAUGGAUGAUCACUAUUCAGUUCGGAGUGCAUUCUCUCUUCUCAACCAGGUGAAAGUCAGAGCUGUGUGUUUCUGUUUAAUGAAAAAAGCAGUAUAAUUCAAAUGCAGUUGGGAGCAUGAAAGCCUUCGAUGAUGAGCUUCCUUACAUUGUAUGUCUGGACUCUGGAGCAAGUUAAUGUUGGAGCUCUAAUUCGUAGCUUGCCUUGCUUGCAUCAGUUUCAUCUCAUGGCUUUACUAUUCUUUUUUUUUACUAAAACAUUUCUUUCAGAUUGCUUCACCAAAAAUCAUGAUGACAUCAAGUUCAGUUGUCCUUUUUUUACAAAUUAACUAUUACUGGGACCAUUUACACCAAUUUCUUAAAGCAUCCUCUAUGCAACAAGCUUCAUCUUCCACUCCUGGCGAGGAACACAGUUGAGUUUCAGAAGCUCUUCUACCCAAGUCCAGGUGAAUGGUAUCAUGGUAUCAAUAAUGGGAGCCGUUCUAGCUGGAUUCUUAAGGGGCCACUUACAAGAUCCUCUUUUCACCACCUUCAACACACUAAGCAACUUUUUGUCUUCUGAAGACAAUACCUGAGUUUUGGGUUCCUGCUGGUGUGGACAAAUAAGUGAACCUCAAUCCAAAAUUUAGGACUUGAUGACAAAGUGGAGGAAUUUAAUCAGAGCAAUGCUUUGCUAAAGGUUGUUGAGGAUAAGAGUGUUCUUGCUUCAAAUGAUACGUCUGGAGAAGUAAGAAGCACAGUUGAGCAUCUCAAUGAUACUACAUGUGCUGCAGUUUCAUCGUUCAAGAGGAACGGUUCAGUAGAAUCAGCCAAGGCUGAUGGGCUCAAGUCUCAAUGCAGUGGCUAGGGUCGGAAUCCGAGAUGAAUAUCGGGGAAUCCUUUGUGAUCUUCAUUGGAGCUUUUUGGUUUUCGCUCGGGAUCCAGAUGGUGUUCUAUUGAAGGUCGAGAUUUAAUCUCCCUGUCACAUUGAAUUGAUAUUUAUCUGAAAAGGAAGAGCCUUUCAAAAAGGAGUCUCAGGUCGCAUCCAACAAGAAGAAGCCCCAAACAUGGUGAAUGUAUGUAUUUUAAUAUGAGAUUUCGCUUGGUUAAACUUCUAACUUCUUUUACUAUAAUUUUGUGUAGAAGCCUCUUAAUAAAAGUGAAGCAGUUGUUGCUUCUAAUGUGCUGGAUAAUAGUUUGGCUUUAGAUCCAACCCUCAGUUGUUACACAAUGUUUAAUUUUAUAUUUUAGCAGGAAAAAUAUUAAGGGAUAAUAACAUGAUAGUUAGUGAUCAUAA